RNAcentral lists this unclassified non-coding RNA (231 nucleotides) under plant metagenome. RNAcentral's name for it is "partial contains small subunit ribosomal RNA, internal transcribed spacer 1, and 5.8S ribosomal RNA". The record is from RNAcentral.
UCUCCGUUGGUGAACCAGCGGAGGGAUCAUUACUGAGUUACAAAACUCACAAACCAUUGUGAACGUUACCUAGCCCGUUCCUUCGACGUGCUGUCCGGGCACCGCGCCCGGCACCCCCCCGUCCCCCGCGGGCGCCCGCCGGCGGUAAACCAAACCCCAGAACUUCAUGCCCUCUUUGAUUAUUCUGUACUAAAUAAGUCAAAACUUUCAACAACGGAUCUCUUGGUUCUG